UUUGUGUUCGUGUUUUCUACAUCAUGUUUCAUGUCUCAUUAAUUAAAUUUUCAUGUCAUGUUGGUAUGUUUCCAAUAUUCAUGAUGUGUGGGUUUGUUUGAUUCGAUUUUAUUUGAUUUUUACAUGUUUUUCCAAUUGAUUUGCGAUUUUUCAUGUCUAAAUUGGAUAAUGAAAAUUAAUCGAAAAAUAAUAUUACAUACCCUAAUCCAACCGAAUAUGAAGGAAAAAUCGUUAGAUUUAAUUAAUAUUCCAAUCCAACCUAAAAUGAGAGAAAAUGGUUGGAUUUAAUUAAUAUACUAAAGCCGUU
This 307-nucleotide long non-coding RNA is filed under the name Gossypium barbadense (sea-island cotton). Its description in RNAcentral is "long non-coding RNA (GBAR_LNC019537)". Lineage: Eukaryota; Viridiplantae; Streptophyta; Magnoliopsida; Malvales; Malvaceae. The record is from RNAcentral.